AGCUAGGCGCAGUUGCUGUGACAACAGUUAUGUUACAGCGGCCAUUUUAACUGCCAUCCAAGGGACAGCCUGAAGAACAGUACAGUUCGAGUCCUGAGUGUCCCCCCAAAAUGUUUGGAGACUAUGCUGCUUCUUCUGUUUCUGUAAUGUAAGAUGCACAUGCCUGAUCUGAUUCCUGCAGAUGCCGAUAACAAGGGAAUUGAGCUACUCUACCAUCUGUGCGCCCCAAGCGCACAAGGUGACAGGCCGAGGAGGAGGAGGAAGAGGAGGAGAUGAUCGAGGAGGAGGAGCAGGAGGAGGAUGCACAGGAGGAGAGGGAUGAGGAGCAGCCAGGGCCCUCCCAGUCUUUACCACCCCCCAGCUCCUGUUGAGGAGGAAAAGGAGGAGCUGCAACCCCCCCCCCCCCCCAACUCCUUGUGAUGGAGAAGAGGAGCAGGAGGAUGAGACAGUUCCUGUGACCCCCAGGCAGGAGGUUUUCAAAAAGAUGGAAGAAAAACAGAGGGUCAUCCAGAGGACCAAUGACAAAAUCCUGUCCAUGCGCAGGAAAAUGCGCAUAUUAGACCGCCAAACACAACAGCUGGAGCAACAGCAGAGGAGGAAUUUGGAGGAGAUGGCUGAGCUCCACAAACUCAUGCAAAAAUAUUUUUAAUUAAUUUUUUCC
Molecule: long non-coding RNA, 661 nt
Organism: Hyla sarda
Lineage: Eukaryota; Metazoa; Chordata; Amphibia; Anura; Hylidae
Exons: 4
Source: RefSeq, a predicted model, not a curated record